Molecule: ribosomal RNA, 519 nt
Filed under: Mastophoroideae sp. SWD-2014
Lineage: Eukaryota; Rhodophyta; Florideophyceae; Corallinales; Mastophoraceae
Description: SSU rRNA
Rfam family: Eukaryotic small subunit ribosomal RNA
Source: RNAcentral
CCAUGCAAGUCUAAGUAUAAGUUAUUCUUAAGACGAAACUGCGAAUGGACUCGGUAAAAACAGCAAUAAUUUCUUCGGUGAUGAGUUUACUCACGGAUAACCGUAGUAAUUCUAGAGCUAAUACGUGCUGAAAAAAGUGGGGGUUCGCUCCACUGUGCCGUUUAGAUAACAACACCAACAUUUGGUGAUUCAUAAUCGUCUUUCUGAUCGCUUCAUGCGACGCACCGUUCAAAUUUCUGACCUAUCAACUUUCGAUGGUAAGGUAGUGUCUUACCAUGGUGGCAACGGGUAACGGACCGUGGGUGCGGGACUCCGGAGAGGGAGCCUGAGAAACGGCUACCACAUCCAAGGAAGGCAGCAGGCGCGCAACUUGCCCAAUCCAGACUCUGGGAGGCAGUGACAAGAAAUAUCAAUAGGGGAUCCUAUGGGUCUUCUAAUUGGAAUGAGAACAAGCUAAACAGCUUAUCGAGAAUCCAGCAGAGGGCAAGUCUGGUGCCAGCAGCCGCGGUAAUUCCAGCU